Passer domesticus (house sparrow) is the source of this 8578-nucleotide long non-coding RNA. RefSeq lists it as uncharacterized. The record is from RefSeq and is a predicted model, not a curated record. NCBI's taxonomy places the organism in Eukaryota, Metazoa, Chordata, Aves, Passeriformes, Passeridae. The transcript has 2 exons.
UGGGACUCACUGCCCUGCACCUGAGCUGCAGGUCCUCCAGCCUCUCAGCAUCAUCCUUUGCCACCUCCCACUUCAGUUUCAAGGAGGAGAAGUAAAUCAUCCACUCCAGCUAAUGAAGUUCAAUCUCCCAGAGAGCUCCAGGAGUCACCCUGCACUUCACUAGAUGUCCAAGGAAUCAAGGGAAUAUGAGAAGUUCCUGGGAGUCUGCAUGGUGGGGGUAUUCAAGGUGACUAAUUUGCCUUGCCACAAGAGAGAAAUGAGACAUUUUAGUAUCUAAACCAGUGAAAAGAUAACAACUGUAUCAUCACAUCAUGAAUCUGCAUUUCUACAGUAUGAACAAGCCAUGAAAAAACAACCUCCUUGGGCAGGCCAGAGAGUGGAGCAGAGAGCAAAGAGGUAACUCUUGUCUCCAAAUCCCAGGAAAAGAAAAGGAUUCAGAGAGAUAUGGAGUAUCUCAGCAAAAUAAAAACAAAACAAAACGAGUGACCACAACAAAUUUGGUCUGGGUAUGCCAGAGGCCAUAAAGGAUGCUUUCUUUUUACCACUGUAAAAGGGAAUUUUUUAGUGAUUGAAGAAAAGAGGAUAAAAUACUUGUAGAGAGUUUUUCUCAAGCACAAAUGUAAGAAUGUGCUGGAACUCAGACCCUGAGAUCAGCUCAGUUGGUUAGACCAUGCUGCUAAUAAUACACACAGUAGUGGGUUCCAUCCCCAUAUGGAACACCCAUUUAAGAGAUUACCUUGAUGGUCCUUGUGGGUCCCUUCCAACUCAAAAUAUUCUGUCAUUCUGCAACAGUAAAAAGAAAACAAAAAACCAAAUCCAGAAUGCUUUCCAUGUUAGGGGGUUUUUUUGAUGUUGUUUGGUUGGUUGUUUUGUUUUUGGUUUGUUUUUUUUUUUUAAGAGACAUCCCAAUGCAACUGUUACCAAUGCUAAAAAAAGUUAAUCUUUCUGCUCCCUGAGUAAGCCCCAAGCUGGAAUAGAGUACACAAACCUAAUUCUCAAAUUCCUCUCUCUCUGCUCAACAACACAAAAAAUAUAAAAUAAAAUGGGAAAAAUGGAAAGAUGGAAAAAGUCACAUUAGGGUGGGGGGAUAUUGCUGGAAAAUACUGAGGAAACAAUUAAUUUGCCACUGUUGGAUGGUUUUGGUUUUGGGUUUUGUUGUUCAGGGAUUUUUGUAAGGAAUUUUCAGGCUAGUGAUUUUUAGUUCUGGUUUUUAUCAUUAUCUGUAAGAUGUCAAAGAAAUACAAAAUCAGGUGUAAAGGGCCUGACUUUAGAGUACCCUGAUUUUUCAUGCCAAUUUGUAAUAACCCCUUACCUCAGGUAUAGCACAAAUACAGACAGACCAUCAAAAGCCCCCAAGAUAAUAACUGUCUCCAAAAAAUUGCUAUUAUUUCUUUGAAAUCAUUUUUAGUUUCUUUAUUUCUGAGUUAGUGGAGGCUUACAGGCAGUUUCAAACCCAAGCUAUAUAUCUGCAGAGAUGAGACAGCACUUCAAUUAUCAAGGUAUGUCUCUCACAUAGCCCCCAAAUAGCACAUGUGGAGAAAAGGACACUUGAGAACUUGAUAUAAUCAUCACGGCUGUCCCCAUUGUUCAGGUUAGUAUCCCCUGUCUUCCUCUUCUUCUAACUGGCUUGAAAAAGGAGGGUUUUGCUGCUAAAUUACCAAACUGACAGGCAGACAAGCUGGAAGAGGUAGGAAAGCAGCUCUAUGCUUGUUGCAUGCAAUCCCAACAGCUCCCGAAGCUGUGGGAUACUGUGAGGCAUGGCAGCCCCAUGCUGAUCUGCACAUGGUCGUAUCAUGCUAUGGUUGCCACAAUAACAUACAUUUUUUUCAACAUUUCUGGCAUAUUAAUUGGGAAAACACUAGUCAGAAGCUUAUUCUUUCUUAACCAUUUCUCACACAUGUUUUUCACAAAUAGCUCUUUUUCACCUACACUGGAGAAUGUUUUUUAACUUCUAAUAGGACCAAAAUGUGCAAACCAGAGGCAAACAGCACAUAAAUUUGCUUCAACGAGUUACAUUUAAUAUGCAAGAUGCCACAUUAAAAUGUAUGAAGUCUUUUAACUCUAGCCCACAGACAAACAGAAACAACAAGAAAAAUAAUGAAAGGAAAAUAUCCUGACUUAUCUUUGUAGCUACUGGUGCAUUUCUGUACUCUCCUUUUCCUGUUUAGAAACUGUCUUUGGAUUUGUAACAGAAAGGAAGAAAGGUUUAUGGUGUGCUCUGCAGUUAAGGGCUUUACAUGUUCUCCAAUGUAAUCCUUCACUCUUGGAGCAGGCAGCUCUGUUAAAGGACAGUAAGCAUGGAGCAACGUGCGAAUGCAGCCUUUCUAUACUCAGAAUAAAAAUUUAUUUUCUAAACCUGAUUCCAUGAUCACCAACCAGCAGCUUGAAUUUGGAGGAAUGUUUUAAUUUCUAACUCUUAAGGAAUGGUUCUCUUGUAGUUUCUGCCUACACAAGCAGAAACCACUUCCACUGCUAAGGCUGUGCUAGUCUUGCUCAUUUAGAGACAAGCCAAGCUCAAAAGCAGCAUGCAGCUGCAGUGAUAAAACAAAACUGCAGCUUCUGCUCUCAUCUUGGUAGAGCAAAUAGGAAUCCAUUUUUCCAAAAACAUUUCUCUACAUAAAACAGUUUUAAGGACUUCAUAUUAGCCAAAGUGAAAUUGGUCCAGCAUUCAGGUGUGUCCUGACUCUUUCCAAAGAAUGAGAAGUUAUUCCUACAACAGCCCAACCCAUCUCUUCUUACUCCACCUGUGCUACACGAGCAAGAGAAAGAGAACCCCUGUGAAGACACCCCACCACUGCCAGCCAAGUGGCACCCAGGAAGGUACAGUGCCUCUACAGCUGGGGCACAUUCAGAGCUUGCAAAAGAGCAAAAGCACAGCAAUGUAAUGCAGGCUACACUCUGACUCUCUCCUAACAGUCCCUGAGGACACUGAGAAAUGAAAAGGUCUUUGUGUCUGUACCACCUCCACUUUAUGAAGUACAAUGGUACAUGACACGUUACUCCCACUUUCACUUCUCAAAGCAGAGCCUAAUUUUUUAUGCUUCUUUUUGCUACAAGCCACUGUGGUAUUCUCUAUCAAAAAACCAUUCAGACUUUGUGACUUAUCAGUCUGCAGCUCAGAAGGGCCCAGACUGCAACUCUUAGGCUAUUAUUCUGUCCAAACGUGCAACAUGAUUCCUUCAAAUCUGUAAAUUCCUCCUCUUCUGUUAGAGAACAAGCAAGGUGACAAAUGGUUCUGAAUGCCAAUAUAUUACAGAGAAGGGUAUGCUAACUACAGCUGGGGUAAUUAAAGCAAAGCUUCUCUUUAUCACAUUACAUACCAUAUCUAGUGGGCUUUGCAUGUUUGAGUGCAUGAAUACUGAAUAUUAUAAUUUUGCAGAAAAAGCAAAAUCCAGACAAAACAGAAGCAGACCUGUCACUGGUAUAAAAGUCAAAAUCAGCAGUACAACAAUGUAUUCUCUCAUGUUCUCAUAAGAAAGUUUUCAAUAUAUAUGUUCACUUUUCUCGUCACUCAGCAAGGUUAGUAUCAGUAACCCCUGAGCCCAACAAGACUGAAAUACAUCUUUCACAGCAAGUGUAUUGCUUCUGCAAAACUUCUCAGGACACCCUGCUUAAUUUGAAGGAUAAAAUUAAUAGUGAAAGAAAAAAAAAUGGAGCCAACACUAAACUGCUGUUUAAGGAGUCAUUUCAGGCUGUUGAUUAACUUCUGAAGAAUAUUGUUAUUUAUUGCUAAAGACAAAUAGUAUGUUCCCAUCAGGAUCUCUAUUAUACAUUGUGCUAUAUGCCUUUCUCUGGAGGAUGAAGGUCUGGCUGCAUAUAAUUAGUCUUGAGAAUUAGCUAUUAUUAACAAUUGAAUUAACACAGUCAAUCCUUCCAAAGGAGUUUCUCACUAAGUGUUUGUUUGCCAAAGUCAAACUAGAGAGGUCUAUAUAAACACUCUUGUGACAUUCCCAGAAAAAUUAGUGCACCCAGAGAAUUUAAUGAAUGCUUCUACUAAAAAUUAGUAACAGUGCAGGCCGAGCAGAAUACCUUCAUUUUAACCAGUAAGAAUUCUCAUACCAGCAGCCAGUCAUAGCAUAUUGAUCACAAACCAUGGAGAUGAGUUGCUUUCUUCAUAAUUAUCUGUCUCCAGCAACUAUGGUAGGAAAACUGCUAAUAUUCAGAAAUAACUAAAACAGGCAAUCAAUAAGACAUUAUUUAUUACAUCACCAGUGCUGAUAGACUGUUAUAAUUCAUAAAAACUUGUGAAGUUUAUUGAUUUUCUAAGAUACUGACUUAAAAUUGAGCUAUAUUUUCAAAUCACUGAGUUUACAUGAAACUAUAGUCAUUAUAGCAAAGUGGGCUUUUUAGACAAUUUAAGAUGCAACAAUGUCAAUACAUAUUAAAGGCACAAAUAUAUCUGGGUCCAGAACAUAAAGCUGCAUAUGCUACUAUAUCAGUUGUUAUGCAUGAAGGGGACUUCUUGUUCUACAAUAAGUAAUGUACUUGUUUACAACCCUAUUCAAUAUAGUCCUCUGAAAGUUCAUAAAAGCAUGAUAAACAAUGGCUCAAGAUUGAAAAACUCAAGUUUUCCAAGUGCAAUAAAACUAUACCUGUCGAUUCCCACAAAGGCUCUUUACAAUUGUAACAAUAAUUUGGCAAAGCAGAAAAUGCUUGUCCAAAUGAAAAAGCUGACAUUUUUCGUUUCCAUGUAGCUCAACAGCUUGCUAUUUCCAAUAAUACUAAAUCAGCAUCUUGUCUACUUUUCCCAAAAGGAACACUUUAUUCACUAUAAGGUUACGUUGUUCAUUUAAAUCUGCAGGGCAACAGAAUUUUUUUUUUUUUAAUGGUGAAAUAAUUAACUCUGGAAGUCAUGGAAAAUGUGUAUUUCUCCAUAUGUAUAAAACCCUUUCAAACAGUACUGCUAGGUAGGAAAGAAAAGUUAAUUACCACAGAACUAUCUGACAGGAAUUUAUUAGAGGAAUUACUGCUGUAUUUCAACACUGUAGGUACUUUCCCUGACAGGAAAAUCUCCUUCCCAGGAAUUAGUUAUAAGUGUACCUCGACUUUUGAUGUGCAUGUAGAUUUGACUUUGCUUUUGAAAGCAGAGCAGCCUCCUUUCUUCUUCUGCAGGGUGUGUUGUGUUCCCCUUUAGAGGUCAUUGGUGCAGGAAUAGUGCUGGAGGAGGAAGAACUCCAAACAAAUGUUCAGAUCUCCCAUCUGCCAUCCUGGUCUCACAGUGUGACCUAAGGAAGGUCCACAUCAGGUCAAGGGUGGAAACUUUAGAGGUUCAGUUUUUCUGUGGGUUUCUGUUACCCUCAAGCUUUCCUUCUGUGGAAUCAGGAAGAGUGGAGAGAGACAGAGACACAGCUGGGAUGCUCAUGAGAUUCUGCAAGCUUCUGGGUUUGAUCCUUCCAUGCUUUUCACUGCUCUGACAGUAGCAUCUCAAAAUAUUAGAAAUAUUAGAAAAAGGGGGAGAGGCAGCUUGGGGCUACAAAGCAUGUGAGGGGAUGCCAGAGAAAGUUCUUGCCAGGUACUCAAGCAAGAAUGGAGCAUUGUACAAAUUCUCUGCAAAUUCAUCUCCCCAGCUCUCAUUGAGGGUUUCAUCAACAUAGACACUUUAGCAGGUACAGCACACCAAAAAAUACAAAGAAAAAAAAUUACAAGAUUACCACAGCCAACAGUAAACAAUACAGAUCACCUCUAGCUACCCCUUCAAGAGAUUUCAAAUUGUUUUUUUAAAUGAAGUGUUUACUGUAAUAUUGGGAAAUAAACUGUUCUGUUAGGUAGCAUGUGUCUUUACAGAUUCUUAUGUGCCACAAUUUGUCUCUCAUCCAGAAGGCAUCUUUCCAAUGCGUUUUUUUGUUUGUUUUUUCAAUAUUAAAGAAAAGAGCCCCUUACCAUUCCACAAGCUUGCUUAAGUACCAAGCAUAUUAGCAGUCUGAAAUGUUUUCAUGUAUGGGUGACAGAGAAAAAGGUACAAAUGGAUCCUAAUUCAUUCUUAGGCAGCUCCAUAUUUGGAAGGGAAAAUGAGCUGUGCAAAAUUUCCUGAGGCAAGAAAGCUAGGUUUUUCAAUACAAAAGUGUGCUCUUAUGGGAAUAAUGAGAACAACCUUUGAGUUCCUGAAGUAUUAUAAAUUAACUGAGCCAUCCCCAGACUUUGUGGUCUAUUAAGGUAUGUGGAGAGGGAAGAAAAGAUUUUCCAAUAACUUUAAUGACACUGGACAUGUUUGGAUCAUGAUACGUAUUUCUAUACCACCUGGACUGUGGCAACUUUUUUCCUUCAAUUAUUAAACUCCCAAAUAAAGGAUUUAUUUAUGCUUUUUUCUCCCCACAAUCUAUUUUGAUAAGGGAGGAUAAUUUAGAUCUUUUGCAAAAGUGAAAAAAGAAAUAUAUAUAAAUUAACAGGGAUUUUUUUUCCCAGAGAUCAUAUUCAAAAGUCAAAGCAAAUAAAAACAGAAUGGGUUUAAGUAUCCAUGCUUGUAUCUCGAACAUUGCCACAGGAUCUCAAAAAAAAAAUGUUUUUUUCAGCAGGUUCUGAGACUCUUUAAAAUGAAAGAAAUCACAAAGCCCAGCACUUUCGCAGGUUGCUAACAGGAACAAGGCUUUAAUCUAAGAUAUCUCAGGGAAUCAAGGACAAUAAACUUUGAACAUUACCUGUCCCUUUCUGAAAAAUCAGAUCCAAAAGGCACUAAAACACACACACACACACACACCCCCCACACACACAUCAGAUGGAAACAAUACAAAACCCCCAGUUUUCCUCCCUCACCAGCAGGCUGGUGUGAGUUCUCAUUCCCUUGGCCAAGACCUAAUUAAAGAGGCCCCUGUAAAAUAUUGACUGUAGAAAGAACUGCUGCAGUAUGAAAGGCUACUGUCCUUGGAGGUGCUUGUUCACACCCUCUGCAGAAAGGUACCAGCAACACAGGAGAGCCAGAGCACAGAGCCUCCUGCACCUCCCCCAGGGCAAGGAUGGAGCAACCCCAGAAGCUCUGUUGCAUACGAUGGAAGAAACAGAAUUCUGAUAAGUUUUUGAAACAAAAUAGCAAGAAACACAACUUAAGGUAUGGCAACCAAAAAGCAUACUUUUUAAUAUCAAGGAAAAAAAAUAGUAAUUUCUGUGCUGGAUAAGUCAAGCCUUUAUUGCUAAACCAGCUUAAGUUAAAGCAGGUGGCAAACUGCUAUACUCUGUAACCAAUGAAAGCAUAAAAAUCAGUAUCACAAGUUAUUUCUUAGCAUUCCAGUUGUAGCAAGCAGGAGAUUCAGGAAAACUUAUUUUAAUUAAAAACUUUAUUUUUCAUUACAAUUCACAGUUUAUACAUGGCAAGAAGAACCCUUGCCAUGUGGACAUUCAGAACACUGUGCUGGGGAGACAAGGGUCUUUGUUAUAAGAGCAUUGCUUGGUGCUGUGUCAUGGAACUUUCUUAGUUUUAAAAGCGUACUCUCUGUAAAUGUUAAUUGACUGAUAUUUACACUGAAUGUACAUAUUAACUUAUAUUUAUUAGAAAACAAGCUAAGCAUCCAAAAAACAUGAACAUUCAUAUCUUGCAUUUUAUCUAAUGGUCAGAGAUGCUGUAAGAUUUGCCACUUGAAUCAUGCCCAAUCAGCAAAGUCCCAUUUUUUUUAAUUUACAGAGCCUAAAUUUUUCUUUAAGGCCUGUUCUACUCAUUUUAUGUACAGCCAGGUUACAGUAGACUAACAAAAGGAAAAAAAUGCAAAAUUAUCCAUUCCAUCCUGCAUUUCUUCUGAAUCUCAUGUAAGCAAAACAGAAGGUACAAAAUUAAUGUGUUUUCUUAACACCAAUAAAGAAAACCCACUGUCUGGUUUAGAUCUGCUUCUUGUCAGCCUAUCCUGUCUGAACAAUCAUCGGUAUUCAGAUUGUGCUAUUUAUCAGCUUUUCUUCAUGCCUGCAUUGAUAUUCAGAGCCAUCUCUAUGUGAAAUGUAGAAAGUCACAGUGAUACCAGUUUCAAUUGCAUUCCCACGUUAGCCACAGCUCUGGCACAGGCAGCCCACGUGACAUUCAGGAAAACACUCUGCCAGGAUUCCUGGGUAAAAUAUCAUGUAGCCUCUGGGGUGACUUGGCUUAAAAAGGAAAUUAAGUAUCCUUUUCAUACCAAAUAUCUGGCAGAAGGUUUAUGUUUAUUAAAAAUAGCUGUAUUCUUCUGCAUUGUUAUUUUGGAUGAGAUUAUUAGAACACAGAAAUUUAAAGCCUCCCCCUGCCUCUCAUCAAAACAGUAAUUUUUACUUGCUCUUGUCAUCUACCAAAUAAUUUAGUGAUAGAUAAGCUGCAGAUUUUUUUGGUACAUCUAAUGCGGAGAAAAACAACUGCUGAACACUGCUUGGAAAACUAAGACCUGAAAAGGGUCUGCAAAUCCUACAAGUCAGCAUGAACAAGUAUCAGCUGGACCUGAGUAAAACAAAAUACUUCCGGGGGACAGGUUUGCAACUUUUGAAACUGCAGUGCCUUUAAAUUUGGAGCUAACAACAUCAAUUGAUGAUUGUUGAGUUUUGGCAUUCAUUCAUGCUGGUUGGUAUCUUCACAACAGACACCUUUGAAACACCACCAUUUCAAGAACGAAAGGCUUAAAUGAAAUACACU